This 467-nucleotide ribosomal RNA is filed under the name uncultured bacterium. RNAcentral describes it as "bacterial SSU rRNA". It matches the Rfam family "Bacterial small subunit ribosomal RNA", at positions 33 to 507 of the family's 1533-position model. The record is from RNAcentral.
CGGACGACGCUGGCGGCGUGCUUAACACAUGCAAGUCGAACGGUGACGAGGAGCUUGCUCCUCUGAUCAGUGGCGAACGGGUGAGUAACACGUGAGCAACCUGCCCCAGACUCUGGGAUAACAGUUGGAAACAGCUGCUAAUACCGGAUACGAGACGGAGAGGCAUCUCUACCGUCUGGAAAGUUUUCGGUCUGGGAUGGACUCGCGGGCCUAUCAGCUAGUUGGUGAGGUAAUGGCUCACCAAGGCGACGACGGGUAGCCGGCCUGAGAGGGCGACCGGCCACACUGGGACUGAGACACGGCCCAGACUCCUACGGGAGGCAGCAGUGGGGAAUAUUGCACAAUGGGCGAAAGCCUGAUGCAGCGACGCCGCGUGAGGGAUGACGGCCUUCGGGUUGUAAACCUCUUUCAGCAGGGAAGAAGCGAAAGUGACGGUACCUGCAGAAGAAGCACCGGCUAACUACGUG